This 722-nucleotide ribosomal RNA is filed under the name uncultured bacterium. RNAcentral's name for it is "bacterial SSU rRNA". It matches the Rfam family "Bacterial small subunit ribosomal RNA", at positions 56 to 765 of the family's 1533-position model. The record is from RNAcentral.
UGCAAGUCGAGGGGAAACGACAUCGAAAGCUUGCUUUUGAUGGGUGUCGACCGGCGCACGGGUGAGUAACGCGUAUCCAACCUGCCCACCACAUGGGGAUAACCUUGCGAAAGUAAGACUAAUACCCAAUGAUAUCUCUAGAAGACAUCUGAAAGAGAUUAAAGAUUUAUCGGUGAUGGAUGGGGAUGCGUCUGAUUAGCUUGUUGGCGGGGUAACGGCCCACCAAGGCGACGAUCAGUAGGGGUUCUGAGAGGAAGGUCCCCCACAUUGGAACUGAGACACGGUCCAAACCCCUACGGGAGGCAGCAGUGAGGAGUAUUGGUCAAUGGACGAGAGUCUGAACCAGCCAAGUAGCGUGCAGGAUGACGGCCCUAUGGGUUGUAAACUGCUUUUAUAAGGGAAUAAAGUGAGUCUCGUGAGACUUUUUGCAUGUACCUUAUGAAUAAGGACCGGCUAAUUCCGUGCCAGCAGCCGCGGUAAUACGGAAGGUCCGGGCGUUAUCCGGAUUUAUUGGGUUUAAAGGGAGCGUAGGCCGGAGAUUAAGCGUGUUGUGAAAUGUAGACGCUCAACGUCUGCACUGCAGCGCGAACUGGUUUCCUUGAGUACGCACAAAGUGGGCGGAAUUCGUGGUGUAGCGGUGAAAUGCUUAGAUAUCACGAAGAACUCCGAUUGCGAAGGCAGCUCACUGGAGCGCAACUGACGCUGAAGCUCGAAAGUGCGGG